This 614-nucleotide ribosomal RNA is filed under the name uncultured bacterium. Its description in RNAcentral is "bacterial SSU rRNA". It matches the Rfam family "Bacterial small subunit ribosomal RNA", at positions 91 to 681 of the family's 1533-position model. The record is from RNAcentral.
UAAAGUGGCGCACGGGUGAGUAACGCGUGGGUAAUCUUCCCCCGAAUUGGGGAUAACAUUGCGAAAGCGAUGCUAAUACCGGAUAAUAUCUUAGAUACUUAGGUAAUUAAGAUCAAAGGUGGCCUCUACAUGUAAGCUACUGUUUGGGGAUGAGCCCGCGUACCAUUAGCUUGUUGGUAGGGUAACGGCCUACCAAGGCAGCGAUGGUUAGCUGGUCUGAGAGGAUGAUCAGCCACACUGGAACUGACACACGGUCCAGACUCCUACGGGAGGCAGCAGUGAGGAAUUUUGCGCAAUGGGGGAAACCCUGACGCAGCAACGCCGCGUGAGUGAUGAAGGCUUUCGGGUCGUAAAGCUCUGUCAAGUGGGAAGAAACCACAAGGUGUUAAUACCACCAUGUGCUGACGGUACCACUGAAGGAAGCACCGGCUAACUCCGUGCCAGCAGCCGCGGUAAUACGGGGGGUGCAAGCGUUAUUCGGAAUUACUGGGCGUAAAGAGCGCGUAGGCGGUCUUUUAAGUCAGGUGUGAAAGCCCGGGGCUCAACCCCGGAAGUGCACUUGAAACUAAGGGACUUGAGUAUGGGAGAGGGAAGUGGAAUUCCUGGUGUAGCGG